UACGGAGGGUGCUAGCGUUGUUCGGAAUCACUGGGCGUAAAGCGCACGUAGGCGGAUUGUUAAGUCAGGGGUGAAAUCCUGGAGCUCAACUCCAGAACUGCCCUUGAUACUGACGGUCUCGAGUCCGGGAGAGGUGAGUGGAACUGCGAGUGUAGAGGUGAAAUUCGUAGAUAUUCGCAAGAACACCAGUGGCGAAGGCGGCUCACUGGCCCGGUACUGACGCUGAGGUGCGAAAGCGUGGGGAGCAAACAGG
RNAcentral lists this ribosomal RNA (253 nucleotides) under uncultured bacterium. Its description in RNAcentral is "partial 16S ribosomal RNA". It matches the Rfam family "Bacterial small subunit ribosomal RNA", at positions 524 to 776 of the family's 1533-position model. The record is from RNAcentral.